Molecule: ribosomal RNA, 497 nt
Filed under: uncultured bacterium
Lineage: Bacteria
Description: partial 16S ribosomal RNA
Rfam family: Bacterial small subunit ribosomal RNA
Source: RNAcentral
GAUGAACGCUGGCGGCGUGCCUAAUACAUGCAAGUCGAGCGAACGGACGAGAAGCUUGCUUCUCUGAUGUUAGCGGCGGACGGGUGAGUAACACGUGGAUAACCUACCUAUAAGACUGGGAUAACUUCGGGAAACCGGAGCUAAUACCGGAUAAUAUUUUGAACCGCAUGGUUCAAAGGUGAAAGACGGUCUUGCUGUCACUUAUAGAGGGAUCCGCGCUGCAUUAGCUAGUUGGUAAGGUAACGGCUUACCAAGGCAACGAUGCAUAGCCGACCUGAGAGGGUGAUCGGCCACACUGGAACUGAGACACGGUCCAGACUCCUACGGGAGGCAGCAGUAGGGAAUCUUCCGCAAUGGGCGAAAGCCUGACGGAGCAACGCCGCGUGAGUGAUGAAGGUCUUCGGAUCGUAAAACUCUGUUAUUUGGGAAGAACAUAUGUGUAAGUAACUGUGCACAUCUUGACGGUACCUAAUCAGAAAGCCACGGCUAACUACGUG